This 979-nucleotide ribosomal RNA is filed under the name uncultured bacterium. Its description in RNAcentral is "bacterial SSU rRNA". It matches the Rfam family "Bacterial small subunit ribosomal RNA", at positions 65 to 1054 of the family's 1533-position model. The record is from RNAcentral.
AGGGGACCCGCAAGGGUAACCGGCGAACGGGUGCGUAACACGUGAGCAACCUACCGAAAUCUGGGGGAUAGCCGGCCCAACGGCCGGGUAAUACCGCAUACGCUCUUUCCACGGCAUUGUGGAUUGAGGAAACCUCCGGGGGAUUUCGAGGGGCUCGCGGCCUAUCAGCUAGUUGGCGAGGUCACGGCUCACCAAGGCGACGACGGGUAGCUGGUCUGAGAGGAUGGCCAGCCACAUUGGGACUGAGAAACGGCCCAGACUCCUACGGGAGGCAGCAGUGGGGAAUCUUGCGCAAUGGCCGAAAGGCUGACGCAGCGACGCCGCGUGUGGGAGGAAGCCUUUCGGGGUGUAAACCACUGUUGCCCGGGACGAACAGCUCCUUCGUGGAGCCUGACGGUACCGGGUGAGGAAGCACCGGCUAACUCCGUGCCAGCAGCCGCGGUAAUACGGGGGGUGCGAGCGUUGUCCGGAAUCACUGGGCGUAAAGGGCGCGUAGGUGGCUUGGCAAGCGCGUGGUGAAAGCCCGGGGCUCAACCCCGGGUCUGCCAUGCGAACUGCUAUGGCUUGAGCACUGUAGAGGCAGGUAGAAUUCCGGGUGUAGCGGUGGAAUGCGUAGAGAUCCGGAAGAAUACCGGUGGCGAAGGCGGCCUGCUGGGCAGUGGCUGACACUGAGGCGCGACAGCGUGGGGAGCAAACAGGAUUAGAUACCCUGGUAGUCCACGCCGUAAACGAUGGGCACUAGGUGCUUGGGGGAGCGACCCUCUGAGUGCCGUCGCUAACGCAGUAAGUGCCCCGCCUGGGGAGUACGGCCGCAAGGCUGAAACUCAAAGGAAUUGACGGGGGCCCGCACAAGCGGUGGAGCAUGUGGUUUAAUUCGACGCAACGCGAAGAACCUUACCUGGGCUUGACAUGCAUGGGAAGCCUUUGAGAGAUCAGAGGUGCUCUUCGGAGCUCAUGCACAGAUGCUGCAUGGCUGUCG